RNAcentral lists this small nuclear RNA (18 nucleotides) under Arabidopsis thaliana (thale cress). Its description in RNAcentral is "snRNA_07442". Lineage: Eukaryota; Viridiplantae; Streptophyta; Magnoliopsida; Brassicales; Brassicaceae. The record is from RNAcentral.
UUUCUCAUUUGAGAAACU